This 494-nucleotide ribosomal RNA is filed under the name uncultured bacterium. RNAcentral describes it as "SSU rRNA". It matches the Rfam family "Bacterial small subunit ribosomal RNA", at positions 26 to 521 of the family's 1533-position model. The record is from RNAcentral.
AGGACGAACGCUGGCGGCGUGCUUAACACAUGCAAGUGGAGCGACGAACCAGGGCUUGCCCUGGGGCAGAGCCGCGAACGGGUGAGUAACACGUGGGUUACCUGCCUUGAUGACCGGGACAACCCGAGGAAACUCGGGCUAAUACCGGAUGUGCCCGCAAGGGGAAAGGAAGCUUCGGCCUCCGCAUCAAGAUGGGCCCGCGGCCCAUUAGCUUGUUGGUGAGGUAACGGCUCACCAAGGCUUCGAUGGGUAGCUGGUCUGAGAGGACGAUCAGCCACACUGGGACUGAGACACGGCCCAGACUCCUACGGAGGCAGCAGUGGGGAAUCUUGCGCAAUACGCGAAAGCGUGACGCAGCAACGCCGCGUGGGGGAAGAAGGCUUUCGGGUUGUAAACCCCUUUCAGUUGGGACGAAGCUUCUCCGGUGAAUAGCCGGAUGGAGUGACGGUACCUUCACAAGAAGCACCGGCUAACUACGCGCCAGCAGCCGCGGU